GACGAACGCUGGCGGCGUGCCUAAUACAUGCAAGUUGAGCGCUGAAGGUUGGUACUUGUACCAACUGGAUGAGCAGCGAACGGGUGAGUAACGCGUGGGUAAUCUGCCUUUGAGCGGGGGACAACAUUUGGAAACGAAUGCUAAUACCGCAUAAAAUCUUUAAACACAAGUUUUAAGUUUGAAAGAUGCAAUUGCAUCACUCAAAGAUGAUCCCGCGUUGUAUUAGCUAGUUGGUGAGGUAAAGGCUCACCAAGGCGAUGAUACAUAGCCGACCUGAGAGGGUGAUCGGCCACAUUGGGACUGAGAAACGGCCCAAACUCCUACGGGAGGGAGCAGUAGGGGAUCUUCGGCAAUGGACGAAAGUCUGACCGGGCCACGCCGCGGGAGGGAAGAAGGGUGUCGGAUCGUAAAACUCUGUUGGUAGAGAAGAACGUUGGUGAGAGUGGAAAGCUCAUCAAGUGACGGUAACUACCCAGAAAGGGACGGCUAACUACGUG
This 497-nucleotide ribosomal RNA is filed under the name uncultured bacterium. Its description in RNAcentral is "partial 16S ribosomal RNA". It matches the Rfam family "Bacterial small subunit ribosomal RNA", at positions 28 to 507 of the family's 1533-position model. The record is from RNAcentral.